RNAcentral lists this ribosomal RNA (253 nucleotides) under uncultured bacterium. RNAcentral's name for it is "partial 16S ribosomal RNA". It matches the Rfam family "Bacterial small subunit ribosomal RNA", at positions 524 to 776 of the family's 1533-position model. The record is from RNAcentral.
UACGUAGGAGGCGAGCGUUGUCCGGAAUUACUGGGCGUAAAGCGCACGUAGGCGGAUCGUUAAGUCGGGGGUGAAAUCCUGGAGCUCAACUCCAGAACUGCCUUCGAUACUGGCGAUCUCGAGUCCGGAAGAGGUGAGUGGAACUCCUAGUGUAGAGGUGGAAUUCGUAGAUAUUAGGAAGAACACCAGUGGCGAAGGCGACUCACUGGUCCGGUACUGACGCUGAGGUGCGAAAGCGUGGGGAGCAAACAGG